CUCGCUGAGGACCGGCUCACAGAUCGUAUUUAAGAGCACCAUAGGACGCUCUCGACUGCUGACUGGUGUCUUCCAACCAAUAACUUCCGGCAUUCUCUGGGACAAAGGUUCACAACAGCUAAGGAUCCUAACUAGCUGAGCAUGGUGGUGCACUCCUGUGAUUCCAGCACUUGGGAGGCUGAGGCAGAAGUAUCACCACAAAUCUGAGGCCAGCCUGGUUUACAUGGGUUUUGUUUAUUUCAUUGAGGUCUGAGCCAAUCAACACUCUGCAGGAUGUGGGAUUGGACAGGGCCGCCCCGUGACUGUCAAAAUCCAGACUUGUGUGGUCAUCACGGAGCCUCCUUGUGCCCUCAGGAGGAGAACCAAGGACCGUGCCCUGGAGGAUUCUCCUGUGUACCUGACCUGGCAUUUGGACAGUUUUCCGUUAUGUACUCUGUAGUGAUACACAGCUCUAGAACUCAGUACUCAAGGGACCAGCAGAGGAGGGAAACUGGAACAUCAAUGCCCCUCUCUGAUGCGUGGGUGAACCCUAGUGAUCCUUUUUCAGAAUGGUGUUUCUAAAUGUAUAAUAAAUACUUUGAAUUACAAAA
Long non-coding RNA from Heterocephalus glaber (naked mole-rat), 590 nucleotides. NCBI's taxonomy places the organism in Eukaryota, Metazoa, Chordata, Mammalia, Rodentia, Bathyergidae. The record is from Ensembl.